UCUAGGCACCGGGGCGGCAGAUACUUGCUGAACCCCGUCAGGACCGAGAGGUAGCAGCGGUAGGUGAGUUCCUCUGGGUGUUCCUGGUGUCUACCACU
Molecule: signal recognition particle RNA, 98 nt
Filed under: Chloroflexaceae bacterium
Lineage: Bacteria; Bacillati; Chloroflexota; Chloroflexia; Chloroflexales; Chloroflexaceae
Description: signal recognition particle sRNA small type
Rfam family: Bacterial small signal recognition particle RNA
About the family: The signal recognition particle (SRP) is a universally conserved ribonucleoprotein involved in the co-translational targeting of proteins to membranes. Archaeal SRP consists of a 7S RNA and homologues of the eukaryotic SRP19 and SRP54 proteins. In most bacteria, the SRP consists of a 4.5S RNA and the Ffh protein (a homologue of the eukaryotic SRP54 protein).
Source: RNAcentral